RNAcentral lists this ribosomal RNA (253 nucleotides) under uncultured bacterium. RNAcentral describes it as "partial 16S ribosomal RNA". It matches the Rfam family "Bacterial small subunit ribosomal RNA", at positions 524 to 776 of the family's 1533-position model. The record is from RNAcentral.
UACCUGCAGCCCGAGUGGUGGCCGUUAUUAUUGGGCCUAAAACGUCCGUAGCCGGCUGAGUAGAUGCCUGUGUAAAUCGAACGGCUUAACCGUUCGAACUGCGGGUAGACCGCUCAGCUUGGGACCGGGAGAGUCACGAAGUACUCCGGGGGUAGAGGUGAAAUUCGCAGAUAUCAGGAGGAACACCAAUAGCGAAGGCAGCUCGCUGGGACGUCACUGACGCUGAGGCGCGAAAGCGUGGGGAGCGAACAGG